Molecule: ribosomal RNA, 360 nt
Filed under: uncultured Nitrosospira sp.
Lineage: Bacteria; Pseudomonadati; Pseudomonadota; Betaproteobacteria; Nitrosomonadales; Nitrosomonadaceae
Description: bacterial SSU rRNA
Rfam family: Bacterial small subunit ribosomal RNA
Source: RNAcentral
AAAGCAAGGGAUCGCAAGACCUUGCGCUUUUGGAGCGGCCGAUGUCUGAUUAGCUAGUUGGUGAGGUAAAGGCUCACCAAGGCGACGAUCAGUAGCUGGUCUGAGAGGACGACCAGCCACACUGGAACUGAGACACGGUCCAGACUCCUACGGGAGGCAGCAGUGGGGAAUUUUGGACAAUGGGGGCAACCCUGAUCCAGCCAUGCCGCGUGAGUGAAGAAGGCCUUCGGGUUGUAAAGCUCUUUCAGCCGGAACGAAACGGUCACGGAUAAUACCUGUGACUAAUGACGGUACCGGAAGAAGAAGCACCGGCUAACUACGUGCCAGCAGCCGCGGUAAUACGUAGGGUGCGAGCGUUAA